Magnolia sinica is the source of this 1003-nucleotide long non-coding RNA. RefSeq lists it as uncharacterized. The record is from RefSeq and is a predicted model, not a curated record. NCBI's taxonomy places the organism in Eukaryota, Viridiplantae, Streptophyta, Magnoliopsida, Magnoliales, Magnoliaceae. The transcript is spliced from 4 exons.
CCUGACUCCUUUUCUCACUCGCUGUGCGAGCAAGCGAGAGAGAUCUUCGUUCUCUUUCUAGGGUUUUCCCCUGGGAUUUUUACACCUCGAUCGUCCUUCCUUUUUUUUUUUUUUUUUUCUUCAUUUAAUUUUCUACAAAUCUCUUUGAUUUCUUCGAUCUUUGAAGAACCUGUCGUGACCUCGAUCUCUUUCUUCAUUUUUUCACCUAGGGUUUCUGCUCCCGAUUCGUAGAUUUUACUCCUUUUUUUCUCGUUUUCUCAGCUUCAAUCUCUGUAAAAGAGCUGGAAUCCUUCUUCGCCGCUCCUUUCUACGAUUCCUGCCCGAGAUUUGUUGUUUUGUCCGUUGGGUUCCUAGACAAUACAUUCAAGAAGGUUGGGAGAAUGUAACAGAGAUUGAAGCAGCAGCAACAGCAACAAACUCUGAUGCAGCAGGCGUUGCUACAGAAGCAGCAACUCUACCAUCCCGGCGUCCUCGCGGCUGCCAUGUCUCAGGGGAUCUGCCGUACUUGAUCCUUGCUGUAUCCAUACUCAUGUACUGUAUUUUUAUACAAUUUUCUCCAAGAAGAUAGUCACGCAUGUGAUUUAGCAGUGAGAAGAAGAAAAAGGAGGAGACAAGUUUUAUUCUUUUGUCAGAGAAGAAGAAGGUGACAAGUUUUAUUCUUUUGCCAGAGAAGAAGGUGACAAGUUUUAUUAUUGAUAGGUUUUGACCCUUCCACUUUCAUGCCUGAUUAAAGUUCUCCUCUGCCCUUUGAUUUUACAGAUGCGGAUUGGCUUGUUACCCGAGGUAGAUGGUGGAAAAGCUAUUUUAUUUGAUUGUAUGUGUUGUACUAAUGUUCUGCAUUUUUGGAGUCAUAUCAUUUCCAGCAGGCUUAUGUUUUUUAAUGCUGUAAAUUUCAGGUUGUAUCCUGGUGAUCCAGUGCUAAAUCCUCUUACACCUUGGGAUAGACCUCCAUUGAAAAACAUUUUCUAUAUAUAUGGGAUAGAUAUAAAGACUGAGGUAAUGU